Molecule: long non-coding RNA, 725 nt
Filed under: Equus caballus (horse)
Lineage: Eukaryota; Metazoa; Chordata; Mammalia; Perissodactyla; Equidae
Description: lncRNA (ENSECAG00000030277.2)
Source: RNAcentral
GCGGAGCGUUUAGAGUUCCGGCUGCUCCUUAGGGAUCUCUGCCUCCUCACCAGCAGGCUGGGAGCCGGCCCUUCUCGCUGUUUCUGGCGUCUGCCUCCAGCAAGUCCUCCCGUUUCUCUACCUCUUCCCUCAUUUCCCGUCUGCCCAGCUUUGUGUGAAACCAGACGACAAAGGGUGUUCGGAUUAAGAGCCAGAUGUUAGAGAAAUUUCUGGAAUGUUCCAGGUACACCUAUGUCCUCCAACACGAAAGUUAAAGCAUGUCCUUGAGACUUCUCAGACACCACUGCCACUCUCUUAGAUGAGAAAACCGAGGCAGUUUGAAGGCUGCAAAGAAGUCAGACACGGGUCCCGCCACGAGAAUUUACACCAGGGCUGCAGGAAAGCAUCGCGUGAGGAUUGAGAACUUGGGCUCUGGAAAGACAGACCUGGGUAGCAUCUCAGCUCCACUGCUUCCUGGCCCUGUGACCUCAGAUGAAGCUGGCCAGGACGCCUUCAAGAGAAGGAAUCAGAACUUCUGAUUUUGUGCUAAAGCUUCGUCCCAUGAUGUGGGCCAAUUAUCUUUGGUAAACAAAGGCAACUGGAGGAACGAGAGGAGGAUUUUGAGCUCCCCCUACAGCCACAGGAACAUCACGAUUCUGGGCAAGCUAGUUGCACAAGAUGACACCAGGUAUAUUUCAUGGGUAUUUCUUCUUCCCGCCCUCCCCAGCGUUGAUAUCAACAAGCAC